Long non-coding RNA from Solanum pennellii, 4190 nucleotides. RefSeq lists it as uncharacterized. The record is from RefSeq and is a predicted model, not a curated record. The transcript is spliced from 4 exons. Lineage: Eukaryota; Viridiplantae; Streptophyta; Magnoliopsida; Solanales; Solanaceae.
UCUUUUCCCCAAAUUAAAAAUAUCAGAACUUUUAGAUCUCACAGAGUGAAGAACAACGCCUGCUUCUCCAAAGCUAAAAAUUGUCAAGAACGAUUCAUAGAUUUAAGAACGACGCCAUCUUCUCCAUAGAUUAAAUUUCUCAUAAGCGAUGCUUUACCUAGUGAAUAAUGACACAUAUUUCAGUUUCAUGGUUUUUAACCUAUGACCUAUGAAAAUCCCUCAUAGAUUUGUCAUUUUUCAUCAAGGAUGGAAUAGAAGGCUUCACUUAAGUAGGUGAUGUCUCAAAGAUUCAUCACAUUGAAAGGACAUUGUUGGUAUAUGGUUUAUCAAGUAAAUGAUUUUAUGUUUAAAAAAGUCUAACUCUAUGGCAUCAGAAAUUAUCGCUUUUACACAUUAAGCUUUAGGAUUUUGAUAUUUUUGGGUUGUUGAUACGAUUUUUGUUGAUUUUGUUGAUACAAAAGGAAAUAAGGUAACAAAUGUUUUUUUUUUUUGGCUUCAUUUUCCUUUAACUUGGUCUGAGUAAGUUGGUUGAUAUUGUUUCGGCAUAUCUUUGAUGGGUCAUUUUCUUGUUAAUAAAUCAUAGAUAGUGUUAAUCUCUUUAUGAGGUUAAUAAACUCAAGUUUUACAUAGAUUGGGGCUAAGCAGCAUUCGAUGAUUCAAAGUUUAGCAUGGACCUUGUUUAAUUGUUUUCGCUAAUGUUUAAGAAUGUUAUGAGCUAGAAUAGUGCACUCUGGGAUUUGUUCAAUAAAUCUUACUAGAAAAAGAAGAUAAUUUUAGUUCCCUUCAUGUUGAAUCUCUUUGCUUUACAUUUUAAGUUUCAUAUGAUAUUUCUGCUGUAGAUCUGCAGAAUCCAAUAUUGUAUGCUUCGUGUAUGAUGAAUUCUUAUGGUUGAUGUCUAAGUUGCACUUCUCUCUACCACGUUGUUGAAGCAUAUACCUAUAAUAAUUUUCUAUUUAAUUGAAGAACUUUACCCGUAACUACCUUUGUGUAUGUUCCGGAUCCAGUUCUGGAAAAGGUACUUAUAGAGGUCACAAAUAAUAGUUGCCAUGGAGGGGUAAUGAACUAGUUAUCUCAUCAACCAAUUUUGCUGGAUCAGGUCUCCAAAUCAUUCAAAGAAGAAGUAGUGAACAGGUGCACUCUAUUGUUGCCAUUGUUAUUUUUGUUUGUCAAGAUUUCAACUGUCUUUCAUUCUCAUCCUUAAAACGUAAAAGGGUUUACAUGUUGUUCGUGUAGCUUGUUAAUGAUUUUUGGUGGUAAGUUAAUUUCUUGUUUGGGUAGUUGUUAAUAUUGUUCAUUGCAAAUGCAUUUCAUUUAAACUUUGUAAUAAGUCAUUAGAUAAGUGACUUUUUCUAGGUCUCUUGGAGUUUCAAUUGACUUCACAACAUACCUUCACAUGAUUUUUUUUACUUUUUAUAUGUCGAUAUAUAUAGGCUUCAAAUUAUGAGAACCAUAGUGCUUCUACCUCGUGCCUUACCUUGCAAAGAUCGUGCAUCUUUUUCUUCUUCCUUGCAGUGGUGGUUGCAAACAUUGUUUUCUACUUUUGAUACAAGUUUUCAUUUUGCAUUAUGUUCUUGAAAUGCUGGAAUAGAAUUGGAGAUUUCACUAAUAUGUUUCCUAGUAAAUUUGUGUGUAUAUAUUGCUUGUGUACCUAAUUCCCUUAGAAAGAGAGCUCGCGAUCUUUGGAAUCACUACACCUUGGAAAAUAUGCAGAGGUGAGUACACUAUUGGGCACUGAAUAUAUUUAUUUUUGGUUAUAACCAUUAUUCUUUGAUAAUAUCAUAUAAACAUUCCCUUGUAGUGGUUUGAUGAUGUAUUCUCAAUCGAUAUAUUUGAUAAGUGUGAGAAUGUUCUCAUUCGACUAUCAGAAAAGCAUGGAACAAUUUUUACAUUCUUCAUUGCUUUAUCUUGGAUUUUGGCUGGUGUAUAUUCUAGCUUUGGUUUAGAAUUGUUGGAACAAGUAGAGUAAAUAUUGUGAGUAUCUAUCAUUCUACAAUAUUGUUAGUACGUCUAAUAUUUUUCCUUUAUCUCAGCGUUGAAAACUUUAGAGAUUGUAGUCUUUGUUAUAUGCUUUCUUCUUCUUAUUUUGUCACCUGGAAAGGAGAAAUAUUGACAUAUGAUACUCAUACAAAUCUGUUAUUUUUGGAAAAUUGAUUUUCUUGGAAUUACAUACUAUGGCAUCUUAUUAUCAUAUGAAAUACAUUAUUACCAUAAUGAAUGCAUGUUUUAAUAGCAACUAAGAGUCAUGUUUUUCAUAACGAUACCACUACAUUGGGAAGUGGCUGAGAAAUCCAAAAUAAAGUGAAGAUUUUAGUACUAAAGUGUAGACUAUAACAAUAUUGUAACAGCUUAUCGCGCAAGUGAUAUUUGUUUGUUUUAGGCCUAGUCCAACAUGUCUAUAAAAUAUGUCUUUAGGAUGCAUUUCUGUAUAUACUCAACAUCUUUCUAGUGUUCUAUGAUGUGGAUUUUCCUAGAGUGUCACAAAUACUAUAUUCUAAAAUCUUAUUGCUAGUUGUUUUUUUCAGUCAAGCGAACCUUACUGGAAUGUGCCUAUAGGAAAAAACACGGACAAGUAUCAAUAGCUAGUGAAACAACACUGCUUCCAAAGCCUACAUUCAACAUUUCUCAACUAAAACAAAGCUUCCAUCAAAGAAGUCUCGCACUAGACGACUUGGUGGCUCUCUUAGUUCAGCAUACAGAAUACUCCAAAAAAUUUUACUAGUUAAUUUCUUAAAUGGCUACUCAACUUACUUCUGAUACAACUAUAUGUUCUCUUUGGCUAUAAGGUGCACACGCUCUAGUAUUUAGAAAUUUCUCAUCAUUUACGAAUCACAUAUACAACUUCAACGCCACAAGUUACAUUGAUCCUACACUACGUCCAUCGUUUGCAAAAAGCUUGAGGGGCAUAUUUCCACUCAAAAAUAGGGCAAAAAAAUGUAGGAAUAAGCAAUGAUCUUGCACCAACAACAUUUGAUAAUACUCAUUACUCUGAUCUCAUGGGGAGUUGCUGGUACGAAUCUUGUGUGGUAGAAAGAAUACCUUCUUGGUGAUGAAUUGUAAUUUCGAAAAAAUGUGACCUUUUAAAUUUUUUGAAGACAUAUUGUUUUAAUUUAUUCUUUUACUUGUUUCUUUAUGGCUUAUUGAAAUCGUAGCCUUUUUAAUAGCUGUUCUUUUCUUAUAUAUCAUAGUCUUUAUUCAUGCAGAUGGAAUCCUCAUGAUAGAGGUUGAUAGUCUUCUUAGACCUGGUGUCUACUGGGUGCUUUCUGGCCCUCCUAUCAAGUGGAAGACUAAUUACAAGGCCUUGCUACGCCCUAUGGAGGACCUUCAGGAAGAACAAAGGAAAAUUUAAGAGAUUGACAAACUUUUUUGCUGGGAGAAGAUAUCUGAGAAGGGUGAGACUACUAUUUUUUUUUGAAAAGGAUGGACGCCGACUAAUUCCAUUCUACACAAGAAGAUUCUGAAGCUACACUUUAAAAAUUGACAGAUGCUGAUGAUGUAUGGUAUAAUAAAAUGGAAGCAUGCAUAACAUUAAGCAAAGGCAAUGGUGAUGACGAAGGUCUGAAACCAUUCUGUGAGAGACUUUAUGUUGUUCCACCAAGAAUUUCUGAUGGACUAGUUUCUGGAGUAUCCGUUUAGGUAUAUCUAGAAGAAAAAAAGAAAUGGAAGAUGCACGUUAGUGCUUAUAAGAAAAUAAACAAGCUCAUAGACACAAGAAGGUACUGUAAUAUCAUGAACAUGAAUUCUGGACUUGGAAGUUUUCCUGCAGCUCUUCAAUCUCCCAAGUUGUGGGUUAUGAAUGUUAUCCCUAUGAUAGCCGAGAAAAAUAUAUUGGGAGUCAUAUAUGAACGUGGGCUUAUCGGAAUUUAGCAUGACUGAAGACCAACUGGUGAACGUGAGGUAUCUGAUCCAAACAUACACAAUUGUGUUCGAAAUGGAGGGUUAUUGAGAGAACAGUCAUACAGAAAACAAAAAGAAAAUAAAGCAUACCGUCAGUGGAUAUGCCACAGCUAACAUACUGGCAUACAAGGAUGGCAGCUUUGGUUUGGAAAAUGCCGGUGAUUAAAUUUAAAUUGUGGAGAGAAGUAAACUCGAUCUAUUGUAGUGAAUGAUGAAGAUAUUUUGUACUAUUGUCAUAUACGUUUGAAUGCAUUUGGUUUUUUUGGAAUUUAUUGAUAUUAGAGAUCUUUAAGCAA